RNAcentral lists this transfer RNA (66 nucleotides) under Ornithodoros turicata. Its description in RNAcentral is "tRNA-Val". Lineage: Eukaryota; Metazoa; Arthropoda; Arachnida; Ixodida; Argasidae. The record is from RNAcentral.
UUGGGAUGUAAUCAUUAUAUUGAUAUUUCAUUUACAAUGAAAAAGUGCUAUGUAGGCCAUUCUAAU